AGAGUUUGAUCAUGGCUCAGAUUGAACGCUGGCGGCAGGCUUAACACAUGCAAGUCGAGCGGUAACAGGGGGAGCUUGCUUCCCGCUGACGAGCGGCGGACGGGUGAGUAAUGCUUAGGAAUCUGCCCAGUAGUGGGGGAUAGCCCGGGGAAACCCGGAUUAAUACCGCAUACGUCCUACGGGAGAAAGCAGGGGAUCUUCGGACCUUGCGCUAUUGGAUGAGCCUAAGUCGGAUUAGCUAGUUGGUGGGGUAAAGGCCUACCAAGGCGACGAUCCGUAGCUGGUCUGAGAGGAUGAUCAGCCACAUCGGGACUGAGACACGGCCCGAACUCCUACGGGAGGCAGCAGUGGGGAAUAUUGGACAAUGGGGGCAACCCUGAUCCAGCCAUGCCGCGUGUGUGAAGAAGGCUUUCGGGUUGUAAAGCACUUUCAGUAGGGAGGAAAACCUUAUGGCUAAUACCCAUGAGGCUUGACGUUACCUACAGAAGAAGCACCGGCUAACUCCGUGCCAGCAGCCGCGGUAAUACGGAGGGUGCAAGCGUUAAUCGGAAUUACUGGGCGUAAAGCGCGCGUAGGUGGUUUGGUAAGCGAGAUGUGAAAGCCCCGGGCUUAACCUGGGAACGGCAUUUCGAACUGUCAGACUAGAGUGUGGUAGAGGGUAGUGGAAUUUCCUGUGUAGCGGUGAAAUGCGUAGAUAUAGGAAGGAACACCAGUGGCGAAGGCGGCUACCUGGACCAACACUGACACUGAGGUGCGAAAGCGUGG
RNAcentral lists this ribosomal RNA (765 nucleotides) under uncultured bacterium. RNAcentral describes it as "bacterial SSU rRNA". It matches the Rfam family "Bacterial small subunit ribosomal RNA", at positions 8 to 764 of the family's 1533-position model. The record is from RNAcentral.